GGACUACCGGGGUUUCUAAUCCUGUUUGCUCCCCACGCUGUCGCGCCUCAGUGUCAGCUACUGCCCAGCAGGCCGCCUUCGCCACCGGUGUUCUUCCGGAUCUCUACGCAUUCCACCGCUACACCCGGAAUUCCGCCUGCCUCUACAGUGCUCAAGCAAAACAGUUCGCACGGCCGACCCGGGGUUGAGCCCCGAGCUUUCACCGCACGCUUGUCCCGCCACCUACGCGCCCUUUACGCCCAAUGAUUCCGGACAACGCUCGCACCCUCCGUAUUACCGCGGCUGCUGGCAC
RNAcentral lists this ribosomal RNA (292 nucleotides) under uncultured bacterium. RNAcentral's name for it is "partial 16S ribosomal RNA". The record is from RNAcentral.